CCUACGGGAGGCAGCAGUGAGGAAUAUUGGUCAAUGGGCGCGAGCCUGAACCAGCCACGUAGCGUGAAUGAUGACUGCCCUACGGGUUGUAAACUUCUUUUAUAAAGGAAUAAAGUGAGGCACGUGUGCCUUUUUGUAUGUACUUUAUGAAUAAGGAUCGGCUAACUCCGUGCCAGCAGCCGCGGUAAUACGGAGGAUCCGAGCGUUAUCCGGAUUUAUUGGGUUUAAAGGGAGCGUAGAUGGGUUGUUAAGUCAGUUGUGAAAGUUUGCGGCUCAACCGUAAAAGUGCAAUUGAUACUGGCAGCCUUGAGUGCAGUUGAGGUAGGCGGAAUUCGUGGUGUAGCGGUGAAAUGCUUAGAUAUCACGAAGAACUCCGAUUGCGAAGGCAGCCUACUAAUCUGCCACUGACAUUGAUGCUCGAAAGUGUGGGUAGCAAACAGGAUUAGAUACCCCUGUAGUC
This 460-nucleotide ribosomal RNA is filed under the name uncultured bacterium. Its description in RNAcentral is "partial 16S ribosomal RNA". It matches the Rfam family "Bacterial small subunit ribosomal RNA", at positions 338 to 795 of the family's 1533-position model. The record is from RNAcentral.